UCGAACGAUAAACGGUGCUAACC
RNAcentral lists this non-coding RNA (23 nucleotides) under Drosophila melanogaster (fruit fly). Lineage: Eukaryota; Metazoa; Arthropoda; Insecta; Diptera; Drosophilidae. The record is from RNAcentral.